UACGUAGGUGGCAAGCGUUAUCCGGAAUCACUGGGCGUAAAGCGCACGUAGGCGGCUUGUUAAGUCAGGGGUGAAAUCCUGGAGCUCAACUCCAGAACUGCCUUUGAUACUGGCGAGCUUGAGUCCGGGAGAGGUGAGUGGAACUGCGAGUGUAGAGGUGAAAUUCGUAGAUAUUCGCAAGAACACCAGUGGCGAAGGCGGCUCACUGGCCCGAUACUGACGCUGAGGCACGAAAGCGUGGGGAGCAAACAGG
This 253-nucleotide ribosomal RNA is filed under the name uncultured bacterium. Its description in RNAcentral is "partial 16S ribosomal RNA". It matches the Rfam family "Bacterial small subunit ribosomal RNA", at positions 524 to 776 of the family's 1533-position model. The record is from RNAcentral.